AGCGAAUCGCAUUAGCCUUUGUGCUGGCGAUGGUACAUUCAAAUUUCUGCCCUAUCAAUUUGAUGGUAGGAUAGAGGCCUACCAUGGUUUUUACGGGUGACGGAGAAUUAGGGUUCGAUUCCGGAGAGGGAGCCUGAGAGAUGGCUACCACUUCUAAGGAAGGCAGCAGGCGCGCAAAUUACCCAAUCCUGAUACAGGGAGGUAGUGACAAGAAAUAACAAUACAGGUCCCAAUACGGGCCUUGUAAUUGGAAUGAGUACAAUUUAAACCCCUUAAUGAGUAACAAUUGGAGGGCAAGUCUGGUGCCAGCAGCCGCGGUAAUUCCAGCUCCAAUAGCAUAUAUUAAAUUUGUUGCAGUUAAAAAGCUCGUAGUUGGAUCUCGGAACAGGGAAUAACUGGUCUGCCGGUUGGUAUGUACUGUUGUUCCCGUUCUCUACUGAUGGAAACUUAUCUCUACUCUUAAAUGAGCGGAGAGUAGAUCAGUAGAAUGAAUGUUGUUUUCGAACUC
Molecule: ribosomal RNA, 508 nt
Filed under: uncultured eukaryote
Lineage: Eukaryota
Description: bacterial SSU rRNA
Rfam family: Eukaryotic small subunit ribosomal RNA
Source: RNAcentral